GAUAGAAAAAAUUAAAAAAAUGUUAUAAUAAAAGAAGCUAAAAGAGGUAUAUGUAAUUCAAGUUGAGAAGAGAGAUAAGAAUAACAUAUAGUUUUUUAUUAUAUUUGGAUUGAUUAGGAUAUAAAAAAUAAAUUAAUGUGGGGUUUUAAGAGGUAAAUGGAUAGAGACCAUGUAAUUGAGGUGGAGUAUUGAAAGAUAAAUAAAGAAAUAAUAAAUAAAAAAUGAUGGAGGAGGGAGAGAGGUCAAAGUGGUAUAAGGAAGAGAGAGGUGGGAUAUAUGAAUCAUUAAAAAGAUAGAAUGUAGAUCAUAAUUAUUCUUUUUAUCUUUUGAUAUAAUCCUUUUAGGAUAUAAAAAUAUAAAUAGAUGUGAAGUUUAAAUAUAAAAGAUAGACGGAUAGAGUUGGGGUGGGAUGUUAAAAGAUAAAUAAAAAUAUAAUUAAUAAAAAAAGAGAAAGAAG
This 457-nucleotide long non-coding RNA is filed under the name Elaeis guineensis (African oil palm). Its description in RNAcentral is "long non-coding RNA (EGUI_LNC082233)". Lineage: Eukaryota; Viridiplantae; Streptophyta; Magnoliopsida; Arecales; Arecaceae. The record is from RNAcentral.